This 301-nucleotide ribosomal RNA is filed under the name uncultured bacterium. RNAcentral describes it as "partial 16S ribosomal RNA". It matches the Rfam family "Bacterial small subunit ribosomal RNA", at positions 509 to 809 of the family's 1533-position model. The record is from RNAcentral.
CAGCCGCCGCGGGAAUACGGAGGAUCCGAGCGUUAUCCGGAUUUAUUGGGUUUAAAGGGUGCGUAGGCGGCCUGUUAAGUCAGGGGUGAAAGACGGUGGCUCAACCAUCGCAGUGCCCUUGAUACUGAUGGGCUUGAAUGUACUAGAGGUAGGCGGAAUGAGACAAGUAGCGGUGAAAUGCAUAGAUAUGUCUCAGAACACCGAUUGCGAAGGCAGCUUACUAUGGUACUAUUGACGCUGAGGCACGAAAGCGUGGGGAUCGAACAGGAUUAGAUACCCCCGUAGUCCCUGUCUCUUAUAA